GAAAUGCGAUAAGUAAUGUGAAUUGCAGAAUUCAGUGAAUCAUCGAAUCUUUGAACGCACAUUGCGCCCAUUAGUAUUCUAGUGGGCAUGCCUGUUCGAGCGUCAUUUCAACCCCUAAGCACAGCUUAUUGUUGGGCGUCUACGUCUGUAGUGCCUCAAAGACAUUGGCGGAGCGGCAGCAGUCCUCUGAGCGUAGUAACUCUUUAUCUCGCUUCUGUUAGGCGCUGCCCCCCCGGCCGUAAAACCCCCAAUUUUUUCUGGUUGACCUCGGAUCAGGUAGGAAUACCCGCUGAACUUAAGC
This 301-nucleotide unclassified non-coding RNA is filed under the name plant metagenome. RNAcentral describes it as "partial contains 5.8S ribosomal RNA, internal transcribed spacer 2, and large subunit ribosomal RNA". The stretch from base 1 to 105 matches the Rfam family "5.8S ribosomal RNA", at positions 50 to 154 of the family's 154-position model. The record is from RNAcentral.